GAUUGGUGUCACCAUAUCAGGAAAGUACCUGAGGUUUAGGUCACCACACAUUUUAAUCUGGUCAAACUGGUUAUCAUCAAAGUUCAUCUGGUCCUCUUAUGAUGCCUUUAAAUACAGUGAUUGGUUUUGCUGUGGGAUGGCCAGGGAGACAUUACACUUACUGACUAUAACCAUUGAGGACAUCUUCGGAAAUAUUCCUUCAUAACAAGCUUUUCAUGAAGAGAAUACACAUGUUAUAAGCCUAUAUGGCAAGAACCUGAUGGUGGCCUCUAGGAGCUAAGGGUGGCCCCAAGAAGACAACCAAGAAGUAAUACUAUACACAACAAUGCAAGUUUGUAAGUAAAUUUCUACUCAUUUGAGCCUCCAGAUGAGAAAUUAUCCCUAGCUAACAUUUGAUUGCAGGUUUGCAUAGGAAAACCAGA
This 422-nucleotide long non-coding RNA is filed under the name Vulpes vulpes (red fox). Its description in RNAcentral is "lncRNA (ENSVVUG00000024184.1)". Lineage: Eukaryota; Metazoa; Chordata; Mammalia; Carnivora; Canidae. The record is from RNAcentral.